RNAcentral lists this ribosomal RNA (253 nucleotides) under uncultured bacterium. RNAcentral's name for it is "partial 16S ribosomal RNA". It matches the Rfam family "Bacterial small subunit ribosomal RNA", at positions 524 to 776 of the family's 1533-position model. The record is from RNAcentral.
UACAGGGGGGGCAAGCGUUGUUCGGAAUUACUGGGCGUAAAGGGUCUGUAGGUGGCCAACUAAGUCAGACGUGAAAUCCCUCAGCUUAACUGGGGAACUGCGUCUGAUACUGGAUGGCUUGAGUGUGGGAGAGGAAUGCGGAAUUCCAGGUGUAGCGGUGAAAUGCGUAGAUAUCUGGAGGAACACCGGUGGCGAAGGCGGCAUCCUGGACCAACACUGACACUGAGGAGCGAAAGCCAGGGGAGCAAACGGG